AUUCUAGAGCUAAUACAUGCUGUAAAGCCCGACUUCACGGAAGGGCCGUAUUUAUUAGAUAACAGACCAAUAUUCCUCGUGUCUAUUGUGGUGAAUCAUAGUAACUAAUCGGAUCGCAUGGGCUAGUCCCGCGACAAACCAUUCAAGUUUCUGCCCCAUCAGCUUUCGAUGGUAGUGUAUUGGACUACCAUGGCUUUUACGGGUAACGGAGGAUUAGGGUUCGAUUCCGGAGAGGGAGCCUGAGAAACGGCUACCACAUCUAAGGAAGGCAGCAGGCGCGUAAAUUACCCAAUCCUAAUUCAGGGAGGUAGUG
This 313-nucleotide ribosomal RNA is filed under the name uncultured Spirotrichea. RNAcentral describes it as "SSU rRNA". It matches the Rfam family "Eukaryotic small subunit ribosomal RNA", at positions 155 to 469 of the family's 1831-position model. The record is from RNAcentral. Lineage: Eukaryota; Ciliophora; Spirotrichea.